This 507-nucleotide ribosomal RNA is filed under the name uncultured bacterium. RNAcentral's name for it is "partial 16S ribosomal RNA". It matches the Rfam family "Bacterial small subunit ribosomal RNA", at positions 29 to 523 of the family's 1533-position model. The record is from RNAcentral.
AUUGAACGCUGGCGGAAUGCUUAACACAUGCAAGUCGAACGGCAGCAUGGUGUGUAGCAAUACACACUGAUGGCAAGUGGCGGACGGGUGAGUAACGCGUAGGGAUCUACCCUGUAGUGGGGGACAACCCGGGGAAACUCGGGCUAAUACCGCAUACUACUCUGAGGAGGAAAGCUGGCUCGCACGAGCUGGCGCUAUGGGAGGAACCUGCGUCCGAUUAGCUAGCUGGUGAGGUAAAAGCUCACCAGGGCGAUGAUCGGGAGCUGGUCUGAGAGGAAGACCGAACACACUGUGACGUAGACACGGCCCAGACUCCUACGGGAGGCAGCAGUGGGGAAUAUUAGACAAUGGGGGCAACGCUGAUCCAGCAAUUCGGCGUGUGUGAAGAAGGCCUUCGGGUUGUAAAGCACUUUGGACGGGGAAGAAGGCAUUCUGUUUAAGAGAUGGGAUGUUUGACGGUACCCGUAGAACAAGCACCGGCUAACUCUGUGCCAGCCGCCGCGGUAA